This 212-nucleotide ribosomal RNA is filed under the name uncultured bacterium. Its description in RNAcentral is "partial 16S ribosomal RNA". It matches the Rfam family "Bacterial small subunit ribosomal RNA", at positions 521 to 732 of the family's 1533-position model. The record is from RNAcentral.
UAAUACGUAGGGUGCAAGCGUUGCCCGGAUUUAUUGGGCGUAAAGGGCGCGCAGGCGGCUACGCACGUCCGUUGUGAAAUCGCUCGGCUCAACUGGGCGGGGUCGGCGGAUACGGCGUAGCUGGAGCAAGCUAGGGGGCAAUGGAAUUCCCGGUGUAGUGGUGGAAUGCGUAGAUAUCGGGAGGAACACCAGUGGCGAAGGCGGUUGCCUGG